UGCCCACUCCCAACUCCUAUCCCUACCUCGUCGUGGUACUCGGGUAACCAACCCCCGGUGGAAACUUUGGUCGUAUGCUGACAGGGAAGG
Molecule: ribozyme, 90 nt
Filed under: Aedes aegypti (yellow fever mosquito)
Lineage: Eukaryota; Metazoa; Arthropoda; Insecta; Diptera; Culicidae
Description: drz-agam-1 ribozyme
Rfam family: drz-agam-1 ribozyme
Source: Rfam by way of RNAcentral